Molecule: ribosomal RNA, 571 nt
Filed under: uncultured bacterium
Lineage: Bacteria
Description: partial 16S ribosomal RNA
Rfam family: Bacterial small subunit ribosomal RNA
Source: RNAcentral
UGGGGAAUUUUGGACAAUGGGCGAAAGCCUGAUCCAGCAAUGCCGCGUGUGUGAAGAAGGCCUUCGGGUUGUAAAGCACUUUUGUCCGGAAAGAAAUCCUUGGCUCUAAUACAGUCGGGGGAUGACGGUACCGGAAGAAUAAGCACCGGCUAACUACGUGCCAGCAGCCGCGGUAAUACGUAGGGUGCAAGCGUUAAUCGGAAUUACUGGGCGUAAAGCGUGCGCAGGCGGUUUGCUAAGACCGAUGUGAAAUCCCCGGGCUCAACCUGGGAACUGCAUUGGUGACUGGCAGGCUAGAGUAUGGCAGAGGGGGGUAGAAUUCCACGUGUAGCAGCGAAAUGCGUAGAGAUGUGGAGGAAUACCGAUGGCGAAGGCAGCCCCCUGGGCCAAUACUGACGCUCAUGCACGAAAGCGUGGGGAGCAAACAGGAUUAGAUACCCUGGUAGUCCACGCCCUAAAACGAUGUCAACUAGUUGUUGGGGAUUCAUUUCCUUAGUAACGUAGCUAACGCGUGAAGUUGACCGCCUGGGGAGUACGGUCGCAAGAUUAAAACUCAAAGGAAUUGACGGGG